AGUGAACGCUGGCGGUAGGCCUAACACAUGCAAGUCGAACGGCAGCACAGUAAGAGCUUGCUCUUACGGGUGGCGAGUGGCGGACGGGUGAGGAAUACAUCGUAAUCUACUUUUUCGUGGGGGAUAACGUAGGGAAACUUACGCUAAUACCGCAUACGACCUACGGGUGAAAGCAGGGGAUCUUCGGACCUUGCGCGAUUGAAUGAGCCGAUGUCGGAUUAGCUAGUUGGCGGGGUAAAGGCCCACCAAGGGGACGAUCCGUAGCUGGUCUGAGAGGAUGGUCAGCCACACUGGAGCUGAGACACGGUCCAGACUCCGACGGGAGGCAGCAGUGGGGAAUAUUGGACACUGGGCGCAAGCCUGAUCCAGCCAUACCGCGUGGGUGAGAAGGCCUUCGGGUUGUAAAGCCCUUUUGUUGGGAAAGAAAAGCAGCAGGUUAAUACCCCGCUGUUCUGACGGUACCCAAAGAAUAAGCACCGGCUAACUUCGUG
This 491-nucleotide ribosomal RNA is filed under the name uncultured bacterium. RNAcentral describes it as "partial 16S ribosomal RNA". It matches the Rfam family "Bacterial small subunit ribosomal RNA", at positions 29 to 507 of the family's 1533-position model. The record is from RNAcentral.